CCUACGGGCGGCAGCAGUGGGGAAUAUUGCGCAAUGGGCGAAAGCCUGACGCAGCGACGCCGCGUGAGGGAUGAAGGUCUUCGGAUCGUAAACCUCUGUCAGCAGGGAAGAACGGUCACUGUGCUAAUCAGCAGUGAAUUGACGGUACCUGCAAAGGAAGCACCGGCUAACUCCGUGCCAGCAGCCGCGGUAAUACGGCGGGUGCGAGCGUUAAUCGGAAUUACUGGGCGUAAAGCGAUCGUAGGCGGUAUGUCAAGUCAAGGGUGAAAUCCCCGCGCUCAACGUGGGAACUGCAUUUGAAACUGGCAAACUGGAGUGUGGGAGAGGAUAGUGGAAUUCCAGGUGUAGGAGUGAAAUGCGUAGAUAUCUGGAGGAACAUCAGUGGCGAAGGCGACUAUCUGGCACAUAACUGACGCUGAGGAGCGAAAGCGUGGGUAGCAAACAGGAUUAGAUACCCGUGUAGUC
RNAcentral lists this ribosomal RNA (465 nucleotides) under uncultured bacterium. RNAcentral's name for it is "partial 16S ribosomal RNA". It matches the Rfam family "Bacterial small subunit ribosomal RNA", at positions 338 to 795 of the family's 1533-position model. The record is from RNAcentral.